RNAcentral lists this ribosomal RNA (907 nucleotides) under uncultured Sphingobacteriales bacterium. RNAcentral's name for it is "bacterial SSU rRNA". It matches the Rfam family "Bacterial small subunit ribosomal RNA", at positions 28 to 944 of the family's 1533-position model. The record is from RNAcentral. Lineage: Bacteria; Pseudomonadati; Bacteroidota; Sphingobacteriia; Sphingobacteriales.
GAUGAACGCUAGCGGCAGGCUUAACACAUGCAAGUCGAGGGGUAUAGUAGCAAUACUAGAGACCGGCGCACGGGUGCGUAACGCGUAUGCAAUCUACCUUUUGCAGAGGGAUAGCCCAGAGAAAUUUGGAUUAAUACCUCAUAGUAUAAUUGAAUGGCAUCAUUUAAUUAUUAAAGUCACAACGGCAAAAGAUGAGCAUGCGUCCCAUUAGCUUGUUGGUAAGGUAACGGCUUACCAAGGCAACGAUGGGUAGGGGUCCUGAGAGGGAGAUCCCCCACACUGGUACUGAGACACGGACCAGACUCCUACGGGAGGCAGCAGUGAGGAAUAUUGGACAAUGGGUGCAAGCCUGAUCCAGCCAUGCCGCGUGCAGGAAGACGGUCCUAUGGAUUGUAAACUGCUUUUGCACAGGAAGAAACAUCCCGACGUGUCGGGACUUGACGGUACUGUGAGAAUAAGGAUCGGCUAACUCCGUGCCAGCAGCCGCGGUAAUACGGAGGAUCCAAGCGUUAUCCGGAAUCAUUGGGUUUAAAGGGUCCGUAGGCGGCUUUAUAAGUCAGUGGUGAAAUCUCCCCGCUCAACGGGGAAACGGCCAUUGAUACUGUAAGGCUUGAAUUAUUAGGAAGUAACUAGAAUAUGUAGUGUAGCGGUGAAAUGCUUAGAGAUUACAUGGAAUACCAAUUGCGAAGGCAGGUUACUACUAAUGGAUUGACGCUGAUGGACGAAAGCGUGGGUAGCGAACAGGAUUAGAUACCCUGGUAGUCCACGCCGUAAACGAUGGAUACUAGCUGUUGGGAGCAAUCUCAGUGGCUAAGCGAAAGUGAUAAGUAUCCCACCUGGGGAGUACGUUCGCAAGAAUGAAACUCAAAGGAAUUGACGGGGGCCCGCACAGCGGUGGAGCAUGUGG